This 1647-nucleotide unclassified non-coding RNA is filed under the name Hevea brasiliensis (rubber tree). The record is from RNAcentral. Lineage: Eukaryota; Viridiplantae; Streptophyta; Magnoliopsida; Malpighiales; Euphorbiaceae.
AUUUAAACCCUUUUACUCGGUUCAAAGACUUGAAAGAUCCUCCACUUUCCCAGAUGUUUCCUCCUUGAUUUUCCGAGAAAUUUAUAAGAGAAGAUCUCAUUCCUUACUUUGCACUAAAUUGACUUAUCCAAUCUCUUCCCUCUCUUGAAAAGCAGACGGUAGUUGAAGCUGGCAACCCAUUUGACCAGUCUCACCUUCCUCUUCAUCCUCCUCCUUUAAGAAAUUUUCAUCCAAUCUCUGCCCCUUAUAAUUUCCUUCUGUUUCUUGAAAGCUAUAUUAGGAAAAAAACAGAACUGAGGAAGGAAACUAACAAUCUGUUAAAAGAAAAGAUGAAUGAUUUGUUUGCUGGGUCUUUCUCUCGCUUCCGCAGUGAGGAAGCCUCCCCGGAUCACCAUGUAAUUCAGAUGUCGGAGACGCCGUCAACAGGCGGUGUCAAUCUUGAUAAGUUCUUUGAGGAUGUUGAGUCUGUUAAAGACGAGUUGAAGGAAUUGGAAAGGCUCAAUGAGAGCCUCCAAUCCGCUCAUGAGCAGAGUAAGACUCUACACAACGCUAAGGCCGUCAGGGAUUUGCGGUCGAAGAUGGACGCCGAUGUCGCUCAAGCGUUGAAGAAAGCUAAACUCAUCAAGGUUCGACUGGAGGCUCUGGACCGUUCCAACGCUGCCAAUCGGAGUCUGCCAGGGUGUGGACCUGGGUCUUCGUCGGAUCGGACCAGGACUUCUGUGGUCAACGGGUUGAGGAAGAAGCUGAAGGAUUCGAUGGAGAGUUUUAAUAGCCUGAGAGAGAAGAUAUCUUCAGAGUACAGAGAGACUGUGCAGAGGAGAUAUUUUACUGUGACCGGCGAGAAUCCCGAUGAGAGGACACUGGAUCGCUUGAUCUCUACAGGUGAGAGCGAGACUUUUCUUCAAAAGGCAAUCCAAGAACAGGGCAGGGGAAGGAUUUUGGAUACUAUAAAUGAGAUACAGGAGAGGCAUGACGCUGUGAAGGACAUGGAGAAGAAUCUAAAGGAGCUGCACCAAGUGUUCUUGGACAUGGCGGUAUUGGUGCAAGCUCAAGGAGAGCAGUUGGAUGAUAUUGAGAGCAAUAUGCAGAGAGCAAGCUCCUUCGUCCGCGGGGGAACCCAGCAGUUACAUACGGCGAGAGUUUACCAGAAGAAUACCCGGAAAUGGACUUGCUAUGCUAUCAUUCUUUUGCUGGUCAUCAUCUUGUUCGUGGUGUUGUUCACUGUGAGACCAUGGGAAAACAAUGGCGGUGGUGGUAGCAGCCAGCCAGCCCCUGCGCAGAAUCCACCUCCACCGCCCUCACCGGCGUAGGAUUUGAUGGGUUUGUAGCUCUAUACAUGCUGAUCAUAUGAACAUAUGUUAUAUUUUGUGGGAUAUUUGUUAGUUUGAAACUUGAUUAUUGUUUUGUUGAUUGAUUGAUUUAUUUUUAUUUUCCUUCCCUUUUUGUUUUCUAGAGCUGAAUUUUGAUGGAAAAUUGAGAUGUUGAUAGAUGAUGAGAAAGGGCAUUGAUGCAUAGUGUAGCACAUAUGAUUGAUACCAAUUGAAUUGAUUGCUUGAGAUGGGAUUGGAAGCUUAGCUUCUCCCAAAUCCAUAGUGUUACAAUGUUUAUGCAUGUUUAGAGAGGAAAUUCCAUUGAUUUUGCUGUUUU